UCGAGAAUCAUUCACAAUGGGCGCAAGCCUGAUGGUGCAACGCCGCGUGGAGGAUGACGGCCUUCGGGUUGUAAACUCCUGUCAUCUGGGAGUAAUCCUUGUGCGUUAAUAGCGUGCAAGGUUGAUAGUACCAGAAGAGGAAGCGCCGGCUAACUCCGUGCCAGCAGCCGCGGUAAUACGGAGGGCGCAAGCGUUGUUCGGAAUCACUGGGCGUAAAGCGUGCGUAGGCGGCGCGGUAAGUCAGAUGUGAAAUCUCUGGGCUCAACCCGGAAACUGCAUCCGAUACUGCCGUGCUGGAGUAAUGGAGGGGUAGCUGGAAUUCUCGGUGUAGCAGUGAAAUGCGUAGAUAUCGAGAGGAACACUCGUGGCGAAGGCGAGCUACUGGACAUUUACUGACGCUGAGGCACGAAGGCCAGGGUAGCGAAAGGG
RNAcentral lists this ribosomal RNA (429 nucleotides) under uncultured bacterium. Its description in RNAcentral is "bacterial SSU rRNA". It matches the Rfam family "Bacterial small subunit ribosomal RNA", at positions 355 to 776 of the family's 1533-position model. The record is from RNAcentral.